UAAGCGGAGGAAAAGAAACCAACAGGGAUUGCCCUAGUAACGGCGAGUGAAGCGGCAACAGCUCAAAUUUGAAAUCUGGCUCUUUUAGAGUCCGAGUUGUAAUUUGCAGAGGGCGCUUUGGCUUUGGCAGCGGUCCAAGUUCCUUGGAACAGGACGUCACAGAGGGUGAGAAUCCCGUACGUGGUCGCUGGCUAUUGCCGUGUAAAGCCCCUUCGACGAGUCGAGUUGUUUGGGAAUGCAGCUCUAAAUGGGAGGUACAUUUCUUCUAAAGCUAAAUAUUGGCCAGAGACCGAUAGCGCACAAGUAGAGUGAUCGAAAGAUGAAAAGCACUUUGGAAAGAGAGUCAAACAGCACGUGAAAUUGUUGAAAGGGAAGCGCUUGCAGCCAGACUUGCUUGCAGUUGCUCAUCCGGGCUUUUUUGCCCGGUGCACUCUUCUGUAGGCAGGCCAGCAUCAGUUUGGGCGGUAGGAUAAAGGUCUCUGUCACGUACCUCCUUUCGGGGAGGCCUUAUAGGGGAGGCGACAUACUACCAGCCUGGACUGAGGUCCGCGCAUCUGCUAGGAUGCUGGCGUAAUGGCUGUAAGCGGCCCGUCUUGAAACACGGACCAAGGAGUCUAACAUCUAUGCGAGUGUUUGGGUGUCAAGCCCGAGCGCGUAAUGAAAGUGAACGGAGGUGGGAACCCGCAAGGGUGCACCAUCGACCGAUCCUGAUGUCUUCGGAAGGAUUUGAGUAAGAGCAUGGCUGUUGGGACCCGAAAGAUGGUGAACUAUGCUUGAAUAGGGUGAAGCCAGAGGAAACUCUGGUGGAGGCUCGCAGCGGUUCUGACGUGCAAAUCGAUCGUCAAAUUUGGGCAUAGGGGCGAAAGACUAAUCGAACUAUCUAGUAGCUGGUU
This 893-nucleotide ribosomal RNA is filed under the name Alternaria aragakii. RNAcentral's name for it is "LSU rRNA". It matches the Rfam family "Eukaryotic large subunit ribosomal RNA", at positions 47 to 956 of the family's 3401-position model. The record is from RNAcentral. Lineage: Eukaryota; Fungi; Ascomycota; Dothideomycetes; Pleosporales; Pleosporaceae.